RNAcentral lists this ribosomal RNA (1492 nucleotides) under uncultured bacterium. Its description in RNAcentral is "16S ribosomal RNA". It matches the Rfam family "Bacterial small subunit ribosomal RNA". The record is from RNAcentral.
AGUUUGAUCCUGGCUCAGAUUGAACGCUGGCGGCAUGCCAUACACAUGCAAGUCGAACGGUAACAGGUCUUCGGAUGCUGACGAGUGGCGAACGGGUGAGUAAUACAUCGGAACGUGCCCGAGAGUGGGGGAUAACGGAGCGAAAGCUUAGCUAAUACCGCAUACGAUCUCAGGAUGAAAGCAGGGGACCGCAAGGCCUUGCGCUCACGGAGCGGCCGAUGGCAGAUUAGGUAGUUGGUGGGAUAAAAGCUUACCAAGCCGACGAUCUGUAGCUGGUCUGAGAGGACGACCAGCCACACUGGGACCGAGACACGGCCCAGACUCCUACGGGAGGCAGCAGUGGGGAAUUUUGGACAAUGGGCGCAAGCCUGAUCCAGCCAUGCCGCGUGCAGGAUGAAGGCCUUCGGGUUGUAAACUGCUUUUGUACGGAACGAAACGGCUCUUUCUAAUAAAGAGGGCUAAUGACGGUACCGUAAGAAUAGGCACCGGCUAACUACGUGCCAGCAGCCGCGGUAAUACGUAGGGUGCGAGCGUUAAUCGGAAUUACUGGGCGUAAAGCGUGCGCAGGCGGUGAUGUAAGACAGAUGUGAAAUCCCCGGGCUCAACCUGGGAACUGCAUUUGUGACUGCAUCGCUGGAGUGCGGCAGAGGGGGAUGGAAUUCCGCGUGUAGCAGUGAAAUGCGUAGAUAUGCGGAGGAACACCGAUGGCGAAGGCAAUCCCCUGGGCCUGCACUGACGCUCAUGCACGAAAGCGUGGGGAGCAAACAGGAUUAGAUACCCUGGUAGUCCACGCCCUAAACGAUGUCAACUGGUUGUUGGGUCUUCACUGACUCAGUAACGAAGCUAACGCGUGAAGUUGACCGCCUGGGGAGUACGGCCGCAAGGUUGACACUCAAAGGAAUUGACGGGGACCCGCACAAGCGGUGGAUGAUGUGGUUUAAUUCGAUGCAACGCGAAAAACCUUACCCACCUUUGACAUGUACGGAAUCCUUUAGAGAUAGAGGAGUGCUCGAAAGAGAGCCGUAACACAGGUGCUGCAUGGCUGUCGUCAGCUCGUGUCGUGAGAUGUUGGGUUAAGUCCCGCAACGAGCGCAACCCUUGUCAUUGGUUGCUACAUUCAGUUGAGCACUCUAAUGAGACUGCCGGUGACAAACCGGAGGAAGGUGGGGAUGACGUCAAGUCCUCAUGGCCCUUAUAGGUGGGGCUACACACGUCAUACAAUGGCUGGUACAGAGGGUUGCCAACCCGCGAGGGGGAGCCAAUCCCAUAAAGCCAGUCGUAGUCCGGAUCGCAGUCUGCAACUCGACUGCGUGAAGUCGGAAUCGCUAGUAAUCGCGGAUCAGAAUGUCGCGGUGAAUACGUUCUCGGGUCUUGUACACACCGCCCGUCACACCAUGGGAGCGGGUUCUGCCAGAAGUAGGUAGCCUAACCGCAAGGAGGGCGCUUACCACGGCAGGGUUCGUGACUGGGGUGAAGUCGUAACAAGGUAACC